RNAcentral lists this ribosomal RNA (503 nucleotides) under uncultured bacterium. Its description in RNAcentral is "partial 16S ribosomal RNA". It matches the Rfam family "Bacterial small subunit ribosomal RNA", at positions 30 to 523 of the family's 1533-position model. The record is from RNAcentral.
ACUGAACGCUGGCGGCAGGCUUAACACAUGCAAGUCGAGCGGGGUGAUGGUGCUUGCACUAUCACUUAGCGGCGGACGGGUGAGUAAUGCUUAGGAAUCUGCCUAUUAGUGGGGGACAACAUCUCGAAAGGGAUGCUAAUACCGCAUACGUCCUACGGGAGAAAGCAGGGGAUCACUUGUGACCUUGCGCUAAUAGAUGAGCCUAAGUGGGAUUAGCUAGUUGGUGGGGUAAAGGCCUACCAAGGCGACGAUCUGUAGCGGGUCUGAGAGGAUGAUCCGCCACACUGGGACUGAGACACGGCCCAGACUCCUACGGGAGGCAGCAGUGGGGAAUAUUGGACAAUGGGGGGAACCCUGAUCCAGCCAUGCCGCGUGUGUGAAGAAGGCCUUAUGGUUGUAAAGCACUUUAAGCGAGGAGGAGGCUCUUUUGGUUAAUACCCAAGAUGAGUGGACGUUACUCGCAGAAUAAGCACCGGCUAACUCUGUGCCAGCAGCCGCCGCAG